This is a long non-coding RNA of Hyla sarda, 762 nucleotides long. RefSeq lists it as uncharacterized. Lineage: Eukaryota; Metazoa; Chordata; Amphibia; Anura; Hylidae. The record is from RefSeq and is a predicted model, not a curated record. The transcript has 3 exons.
UUGCCAUUCAGAUGAAUUAGACAAUCGCAGAAAGCUCUGCAACAAAUCUGCCAAAAGUAAAUUUGCCCUAAAUGAAUAGAACAGCCUUCAGAAUCUACAAUCCACAAUGGGCUUCCUUUCUUCCCGCACGCUGAAUGGCAUUUAUGGGAGUAUCACAUACUUAUCACAUUAUGUUGCUUCGUACUGAGCCAGAUAAACGUCAAAUAAAACAAGUCUAAUAAAACGUUAAUAGCAUCGGAGAUGCACAAGAGCCUCCUGGUGACCACAGACAUUUGGUUCUUCCAGAGAGAAGAAUUGAAGAAAUAUAACAUUUUCCUGGCGACAAACUCAGCAUAAUAAACAACGGUGGAUGUACACAGAUUCCUGCAGCAGAACAGAGGGCUUUCAUUACGGAUCUGCGACUGGUUUUCCAUCCGUGUUACAUCACUCAGUCUUAAGAAGACUUUGAUAAAUGACUCUGCCGCUGUGCAAGGUGUGCCUCUGUGAGGUACCAGAUCCUGAUGUUAUCCAGGUCCCCCGCUCGGAGCAGAUCACAAGGAACUCACAAUGCAGAGUUUUAAUGUCUUCAAGGUAGUUUGUUUUUUGGAGAAGGAAGGAACGUCAUUGAAAAUGUUAUUGGAAAUCCGUGGCAACAGCGUUACUGGGAGCUUAUAACGGAAUGAUUUCUCAGGGUCUGUGGCUUUGGAACCAGCAAGUAUGACUUUGGAACCAGCAAGUAUGGAAAAAUCAGUUUCUUUCUUUAUUGAUUGUCCGGCAUUAAAA